RNAcentral lists this ribosomal RNA (497 nucleotides) under uncultured bacterium. RNAcentral describes it as "partial 16S ribosomal RNA". It matches the Rfam family "Bacterial small subunit ribosomal RNA", at positions 28 to 507 of the family's 1533-position model. The record is from RNAcentral.
GAUGAACGCUGGCGGCGUGCCUAAUACAUGCAAGUCGAGCGAACGGACGAGAAGCUUGCUUCUCUGAUGUUAGCGGCGGACGGGUGAGUAACACGUGGAUAACCUACCUAUAAGACUGGGAUAACUUCGGGAAACCGGAGCUAAUACCGGAUAAUAUUUUGAACCGCAUGGUUCAAAAGUGAAAGACGGUCUUGCUGUCACUUAUAGAUGGAUCCGCGCUGCAUUAGCUAGUUGGUAAGGUAACGGCUUACCAAGGCAACGAUGCAUAGCCGACCUGAGAGGGUGAUCGGCCACACUGGAACUGAGACACGGUCCAGACUCCUACGGGAGGCAGCAGUAGGGAAUCUUCCGCAAUGGGCGAAGGCCUGACGGAGCAACGCCGCGUGAGUGAUGAAGGUCUUCGGAUCGUAAAACCCUGUUAUUAGGGAAGAACAUAUGUGUAAGUAACUGUGCACAUCUUGACGGUACCUAAUCAGAAAGCCACGGCUAACUACGUG